This 441-nucleotide ribosomal RNA is filed under the name uncultured bacterium. RNAcentral's name for it is "bacterial SSU rRNA". It matches the Rfam family "Bacterial small subunit ribosomal RNA", at positions 958 to 1398 of the family's 1533-position model. The record is from RNAcentral.
AACGCGAAGAACCUUACCUGGGUUUGACAUCUCCGGACAAACGUAGAGAUACGUCUUUCGUAGCAAUACGACCGGAUGACAGGUGCUGCAUGGCUGUCGUCAGCUCGUGUGGUGACAUGUUGGGUUAAGUCCCGCAACGAGCGCAACCCUUGUCUUUAGUUGCCAGCAUUCAGUUGGGCUCUCUAAAGAGACUGCCGUGGUUAACACGGAGGAAGGUGGGGAUGACGUCAAGUCCUCAUGGCCUUUAUAUCCAGGGCGACACACGUGAUACAAUGGACGAUACAGAGGGAAGCGAAUGCGCGAGCAGGAGCCAAUCUCAAAAAGUCGUUCUCAGUUCGGAUUGGAGUCUGCAACUCGACUCCAUGAAGUUGGAAUCGCUAGUAAUCGCGGAUCAGCACGCCGCGGUGAAUACGUUCCCGGGCCUUGUACACACCGGAGUGC